GCCGAAUUGGUGGAAUUGGCAGACACGCCAGCCUUAGGAGCUGGUGCCCGCAAGGGUGUGUGGGUUCGAGUCCCGCAUUCGGCA
RNAcentral lists this transfer RNA (84 nucleotides) under Chloroflexota bacterium. RNAcentral's name for it is "tRNA-Leu". It matches the Rfam family "tRNA". Rfam says of the family: Transfer RNA (tRNA) molecules are approximately 80 nucleotides in length. Their secondary structure includes four short double-helical elements and three loops (D, anti-codon, and T loops). Further hydrogen bonds mediate the characteristic L-shaped molecular structure. tRNAs have two regions of fundamental functional importance: the anti-codon, which is responsible for specific mRNA codon recognition, and the 3' end, to which the tRNAs corresponding amino acid is attached (by aminoacyl-tRNA synthetases). tRNAs cope with the degeneracy of the genetic code in two manners: having more than one tRNA (with a specific anti-codon) for a particular amino acid; and 'wobble' base-pairing, i.e. permitting non-standard base-pairing at the 3rd anti-codon position. Lineage: Bacteria; Bacillati; Chloroflexota. The record is from RNAcentral.